Molecule: ribosomal RNA, 622 nt
Filed under: uncultured Actinomycetes bacterium
Lineage: Bacteria; Bacillati; Actinomycetota; Actinomycetes
Description: bacterial SSU rRNA
Rfam family: Bacterial small subunit ribosomal RNA
Source: RNAcentral
GGGCGUAAAGGGCUCGUAGGUGGUUGAUCGCGUCGGAAGUGUAAUCUUGGGGCUUAACCCUGAGCGUGCUUUCGAUACGGGUUGACUUGAGGAAGGUAGGGGAGAAUGGAAUUCCUGGUGGAGCGGUGGAAUGCGCAGAUAUCAGGAGGAACACCAGUGGCGAAGGCGGUUCUCUGGGCCUUUCCUGACGCUGAGGAGCGAAAGCGUGGGGAGCAAACAGGCUUAGAUACCCUGGUAGUCCACGCUGUAAACGGUGGGUACUAGGUGUGGGGUCCAUUCCACGGGUUCCGUGCCGUAGCUAACGCUUUAAGUACCCCGCCUGGGGAGUACGGCCGCAAGGCUAAAACUCAAAGGAAUUGACGGGGCCCCGCACAAGCGGCGGAGCAUGCGGAUUAAUUCGAUGCAACGUGUAGAACCUUACCUGGGUUUGACAUGGAUCGGGAGUGCUCAGAGAUGGGUGUGCCUCUUUUGGGGUCGGUUCACAGGUGGUGCAUGGCUGUCGUCAGCUCGUGUCGUGAGAUGUUGGGUUAAGUCCCGCAACGAGCGCAACCCUUGUUCACUGUUGCCAGCACGUUAUGGUGGGGACUCAGUGGAGACCGCCGGGGUCAACUCGGAGGAAGGU